GACGAACGCUGGCGGCGUGCCUAAUACAUGCAAGUUGAGCGCUGAAGGUUGGUACUUGUACCAACUGGAUGAGCAGCGAACGGGUGAGUAACGCGUGGGGAAUCUGCCUUUGAGCGGGGGACAACAUUUGGAAACGAAUGCUAAUACCGCAUAAAAACUUUAAACACAAGUUUUAAGUUUGAAAGAUGCAAUUGCAUCACUCAAAGAUGAUCCCGCGUUGUAUUAGCUAGUUGGUGAGGUAAAGGCUCACCAAGGCGAUGAUACAUAGCCGACCUGAGAGGGUGAUCGGCCACAUUAGGACUGAGACACGGCCCAAACUCCUACGGGGGGCAGCAGUAGGGAAUCUUCGGCAAUGGACGAAAGUCUGACCGAGCAACGCCGCGUGAGUGAAGAAGGUUUUCGGAUCGUAAAACUCUGUUGGUAGAGAAGAACGUUGGUGAGAGUGGAAAGCUCAUCAAGUGACGGUAACUACCCAGAAAGGGACGGCUAACUACGUG
Molecule: ribosomal RNA, 497 nt
Filed under: uncultured bacterium
Lineage: Bacteria
Description: partial 16S ribosomal RNA
Rfam family: Bacterial small subunit ribosomal RNA
Source: RNAcentral